UACAGGGGGGGCAAGCGUUGUUCGGAAUUACUGGGCGUAAAGGGCUCGUAGGCGGCCAACUAAGUCCGACGUGAAAUCCCAAAGCUUAACUUUGGAACUGCGUCGGAUACUGGAUGGCUUGAAUUCGGGAGAGGGAUGCAGAAUUCCAGGUGUAGCGGUGAAAUGCGUAGAUAUCUGGAGGAAUACCGGUGGCGAAGGCGGCAUCCUGGACCGACAUUGACGCUGAGACGCGAAAGCGUGGGGAGCAAACAGG
This 253-nucleotide ribosomal RNA is filed under the name uncultured bacterium. Its description in RNAcentral is "partial 16S ribosomal RNA". It matches the Rfam family "Bacterial small subunit ribosomal RNA", at positions 524 to 776 of the family's 1533-position model. The record is from RNAcentral.